RNAcentral lists this ribosomal RNA (497 nucleotides) under uncultured bacterium. Its description in RNAcentral is "partial 16S ribosomal RNA". It matches the Rfam family "Bacterial small subunit ribosomal RNA", at positions 28 to 507 of the family's 1533-position model. The record is from RNAcentral.
GAUGAACGCUGGCGGCGUGCCUAAUACAUGCAAGUCGAGCGAACGGACGAGAAGCUUGCUUCUCUGAUGUUAGCGGCGGACGGGUGAGUAACACGUGGAUAACCUACCUAUAAGACUGGGAUAAAUUCGGGAAACCGGAGCUAAUACCGGAUAAUAUUUUGAACCGCAUGGUUCAAAAGUGAAAGACGGUCUUGCUGUCACUUAUAGAUGGAUCCGCGCUGCAUUAGCUAGUUGGUAAGGUAACGGCUUACCAAGGCAACGAUGCAUAGCCGACCUGAGAGGGUGACCGGCCACACUGGAACUGAGACACGGUCCAGACUCCUACGGGAGGCAGCAGUAGGGAAUCUUCCGCAAUGGGCGAAAGCCUGACGGAGCAACGCCGCGUGAGUGAUGAAGGUCUUCGGAUCGUAAAACUCUGUUAUUAGGGAAGAACAUAUGUGUAAGUAACUGUGCACAUCUUGACGGUACCUAAUCAGAAAGCCACGGCUAACUACGUG